ACUGCUGCUUGCUCUACUCUAAUAACACUGUCUCCAUUUGCAGCUGGCUGGUGUUCUGGUGGGGUGGCAGCAUCGGUGGGAGGGGAAACAACUACUCUCUCUACGGGCUCAUUGGGUGCUCUGUCUGACACUAUAAGGUGCUGAUUGGCCGAGGGGAGCGGCCCAUGACCCGUGGAGGAACGAGAGCCGUUGCUGACUGGUUGAGCUGGGGUCGCCAGUUCUGCGGAGGAGGGUACUGCACUCGGCCCAUGGACCAGUCACUGGUGAGACAAGAAGAUGAUCAUAACAUUGGACAGCAUAAAAACAAAAAAACCUAAUAGAGGUCUACAGGAAUGAAUCCUUAAACCUGGAAAUGACUGGUAUUUUUGCAGUCCUUCCUGGGUAUGGACAUCCAAGACUUCAUAAGGUCUUCAUUAACACAAGAUUAUGUCCAAAUGAAUGUCUACAUCUUCAUUUUUUGUUCUCCAAAUUGAUCAAUUAUGUAAAAUAACGUCCCACUCAUUAAAUUUGAAGCUUUUAUAUUGAUAAAAUAUUAAUUUAAAUAUUAAUGCUCCAGUUUCGGCGACUGAAACAGCUGUAUAUUAUCUGUAUGUUACUCAGUGCUAAUUUAUAGGUGUCUCUGUUGGUGCAAAGAACUUAUACAUACACAUGCAGUCUGCGGAUGCACCUGGCUAAACCAAGCUAGCAUGUGUUAGCUGAUAACUUAGCAUUUCACCCAUGUUGUCAUUUCUUACUCCAAAAAAACAAAGAUGGCAACAGCCAAAACACUCACGCUGACCCACAGUGGCCAUUUUUUAUGUACAGUUUAUGUUAACAAUAGCUUGGAUGAAAAAUCUACUAAAAACUUUAAUUUUGUGACUUCAGCGUAUCAUCGAAUGAAUCCCCAAAGAAGUUCAACUAUAACUAUAUGAGAUACUCACAUUUCUUUUUAUUUUCUUUGUUUUUUUAUGUGUUAAAAUCAUUAUCUAUUUUAUUUUAUGACAUAUUAUCUCACAUUACCAGGCCCUUACCAUGCGCAUGUGGGAAUAUUUGUUAAAAGGUAGUUUUUUACUCCCACUGUUGCCAAGUGCUUGCUCAAAGGGGAUCGUUUGAUUGUUGGUGUUUUGUAUUAUUAUAGGGUCUCUACCUUAGAGUAUAAAGUGCUCUGAGGCGACUGCUGUUAUGAUUUGGUGUUAUAUGAAUAAAACUGACUUGAAUAAGUUA
This is a long non-coding RNA of Oreochromis aureus, 1203 nucleotides long. RefSeq lists it as uncharacterized. Lineage: Eukaryota; Metazoa; Chordata; Actinopteri; Cichliformes; Cichlidae. The record is from RefSeq and is a predicted model, not a curated record. The transcript is spliced from 2 exons.